AAAUUGCAGUUGAUACUGGCGUUCUUGAGUGCAGUUGAGGUGUGCGGAAUUCGUGGUGUAGUGGUGAAAUGCUUAGAUAUCACGAAGAACUCCGAUUGCGAAGGCAGCUUGCUGGACCGUAACUGACGUUGAUGUUCGAAAGUGCGGGUAUCAAACAGGAUUAGAUACCCUGGUAGUCCGCACAGUAAACGAUGAAUACUCGCUGUUGGCGAUAUACUGCCAGCGGCCAAGCGAAAGCGUUAAGUAUUCCACCUGGGGAGUACGCCGGCAACGGUGAAACUCAAAGGAAUUGACGGGGGCCCGCACAAGCGGAGGAACAUGUGGUUUAAUUCGAUGAUACGCGAGGAACCUUACCCGGGCUUGAACUGCAGCGGAAUGAUUUGGAAACAGAUCAGCGAGCAAUCGCCGCUGUGGAGGUGCUGCAUGGUUGUCGUCAGCUCGUGCCGUGAGGUGUCGGCUUAAGUGCCAUAACGAGCGCAACCCUUACCGAUAGUUGCCAUCAGGUAACGCUGGGGACUCUAUCGGGACUGCCGUCGUAAGAUGUGAGGAAGGUGGGGAUGACGUCAAAUCAGCACGGCCCUUACGUCCGGGGCUACACACGUGUUACAAUGGGGGGUACAGAGGGCAGCUACCAGGCGACUGGAUGCGAAUCCCGAAAACUCUUCUCAGUUCGGACUGGAGUCUGCAACCCGACUCCACGAAGCUGGAUUCGCUAGUAAUCGCGCAUCAGCCAUGGCGCGGUGAAUACGUUCCCGGGCCUUGUACACACCGCCCGUCAAGCCAUGAAAGCCGGNNNNNNCUGAAGUCCGUAACCGCAAGGGGCGGCCUAGGGUAAAACUGGUGAUUGGGGAUAGGUCGUAACAAGGUAACCA
This 872-nucleotide ribosomal RNA is filed under the name uncultured bacterium. RNAcentral describes it as "bacterial SSU rRNA". It matches the Rfam family "Bacterial small subunit ribosomal RNA", at positions 618 to 1502 of the family's 1533-position model. The record is from RNAcentral.